AUUUAACUAUUGAAGCACCAAUAGAGUAGCUUCUGAUGACUGUCGGCACCUAUUCCUUUUCAUUCUCACUUUCUAAAGAUGAGAGAAUGCCAAAACAUUUGACCUUCACCCAUUCGAACUGAAAUAUUUCUAUUUGCACCCCAUUUCCGUACGCGAGACCUCGAGUAAAUUAGGGAGCUCGAAAGGCACGUGGCGGACAAUGUGGGCUUUGUGGACAUAAUUGGACUCAAGAGGCAGCCCAUGAUUAUUAAUUCGAGCAAGCAAGGGUCUAAGCAAAGGGGCUGGCUCGCGAUCGAAGCUCGAAGCUGACCUGACCCGAAAAAUAUCGGCAACAUCCUACUCGGCCAGCCCGAGUGUGGGUUGGCAGCCCUAAGAUGGAAAUCGUCGGAAGGAUCUUCAAGCUAAGGCAAUUGCGUAUAUAGACAUUCCUCAAGAUGGCAAGAAUGGCGGUCACGAGCAAAGAUCUCGUCAUCUUAUAAUUAUACAGGGAUGCUGCCCAUACGUGGAUUAAAUAUUGACUUACGUGAAGCCCAAGAUGGUGGGGGACUUCCCCAUACAGAGAGAUAUGCAUCACAUUACCAAAUUGGAAAAGGAAGAGCAUGGGAAGAGCAUGGACGCGCGACAUGAUUAGGGAAAUUCCCUUUUUUUUUAUUUCAUUGCUUUAUAUGUUCUCUUUCAUUAAUUAGAAACAGGAUGUAGACUUUGAGCGCGUUUGCUUUUAGAAAAAUCUUCUUCUUUUUUUCUUUUC
Non-coding RNA from Punica granatum (pomegranate), 748 nucleotides. NCBI's taxonomy places the organism in Eukaryota, Viridiplantae, Streptophyta, Magnoliopsida, Myrtales, Lythraceae. The record is from RefSeq and is a predicted model, not a curated record.